GAGGGUAUAGCUCAGUGGUAGAGUGUGUGCUUAGCACGCACAAAUCCUGGGUUCAAUCCCCACUACCUCCA
This 71-nucleotide transfer RNA is filed under the name Camelus ferus (Wild Bactrian camel). It matches the Rfam family "tRNA". Rfam says of the family: Transfer RNA (tRNA) molecules are approximately 80 nucleotides in length. Their secondary structure includes four short double-helical elements and three loops (D, anti-codon, and T loops). Further hydrogen bonds mediate the characteristic L-shaped molecular structure. tRNAs have two regions of fundamental functional importance: the anti-codon, which is responsible for specific mRNA codon recognition, and the 3' end, to which the tRNAs corresponding amino acid is attached (by aminoacyl-tRNA synthetases). tRNAs cope with the degeneracy of the genetic code in two manners: having more than one tRNA (with a specific anti-codon) for a particular amino acid; and 'wobble' base-pairing, i.e. permitting non-standard base-pairing at the 3rd anti-codon position. The record is from Rfam by way of RNAcentral. Lineage: Eukaryota; Metazoa; Chordata; Mammalia; Artiodactyla; Camelidae.